RNAcentral lists this ribosomal RNA (439 nucleotides) under uncultured bacterium. RNAcentral describes it as "partial 16S ribosomal RNA". It matches the Rfam family "Bacterial small subunit ribosomal RNA", at positions 339 to 795 of the family's 1533-position model. The record is from RNAcentral.
CUACGGGCGGCAGCCGUGAGGAAUAUUGCACAAUGGGGGGAACCUUGAUGCAGCAAUGCCGCGUGGAGGAUGACGCAUUUCGGUGUGUAAACUCCUUUUAUAUGUCAAGAAAAUGACGGUGGCAUAUGAAUAAGCACCGGCUAACUCCGUGCCAGCAGCCGCGGUAAUACGGAGGGUGCAAGCGUUACUCGGAAUCACUGGGCGUAAAGGACGCGUAGGCGGGUUGGAAAGUCAGGUGUGAAAUCCUACAGCUUAACUGUAGAACUGCACUUGAAACUUCUAAUCUAGAGUAUGGGAGGGGGAGAUGGAAUUAGUGGUGUAGGGGUAAAAUCCGUAGAUAUCACUAGGAAUACCUAAAGCGAAGGCGAUCUCCUGGAACAUUACUGACGCUAAGGCGUGAAAGCGUGGGGAGCAAACAGGAUUAGAUACCCUCGUAGUC